UAUCGAUCGAUGGUAUCAUUUGCAUUGAAUAAAAGUUUAAUGUUUGUUUGAAUGUACUGCUGUCGAGUGCUUGUGUUAGAAAACAAUUUUUACAGUUCUAAAACAGUUUUAAUAAAGCUAUGUAUACACAUCAAGGACACUGCCUAUGUCUAUGCCAAAGCCAUAAUCAAUGCCAGCCAUUAAUUACUCCAUGUCACCAACUUUGUUGCCAUCCCUAGUGCCAUGUAGCAAUUAAUGGCUGCCACAUUUAGAAGAGAUUGUUAAUGUAUUUAGAACAGUGUUGCUAUCUAUGCUUGCUAUCACUGUUGCCAGUUCAUUGUGUUGUCAUGCAGUUAUUUGCUAAUAGACCACUGUGAAACCAUGGACCCAGUAUGAGACCGAGGACCUAUUCAGAGGUCAUUUUUGUGUUUUCAGAGGUUUGGAGCGGUCGGGACUUUGGUCCCUUCGGUUGGGACUAUGGACCCUUGUUCAGUAUAUGUUAGGUUCUGGGCAGAACUGCACUUCAACCUCAUUUAGGUCAAGGUCAUCAUUUGCCAUGCUAAGAGAGAUGAUUAGAAUGAAAAGAAAACAAUUAUACGCACAGAAAUAUUUUCUAUUAUUCACACUACUUAGGACAAUAAGAGUAAACAAUCAUUAUUAUAAAAUAAACAUCUCUAAUAUUUCUUUUGAAAUCAGAGCAGUUAUAAAAUCAUAUUUAGCU
This 700-nucleotide long non-coding RNA is filed under the name Androctonus crassicauda. Lineage: Eukaryota; Metazoa; Arthropoda; Arachnida; Scorpiones; Buthidae. The record is from RNAcentral.